This is a long non-coding RNA of Phlebotomus papatasi, 1461 nucleotides long. RefSeq lists it as uncharacterized. NCBI's taxonomy places the organism in Eukaryota, Metazoa, Arthropoda, Insecta, Diptera, Psychodidae. The record is from RefSeq and is a predicted model, not a curated record. The transcript is spliced from 3 exons.
UUGGUCUCUAUGGCAUCAAUCACGCUCAAAUUUCAGUAUGUUAUAGCUGGGCCUUAGAGCUUCGACUAAAAAAAAAAAACGCAAAACUUCCCGGGCUAGAAUCAAAUUAUUUUUCUUUAAAUGGUUAUAGCUCUGUUUCUAACUCUCAUAAUUUGAUCAAUGAGGGCGUUUUGGUAAACUUUCGUGAAAUGCCGAUCUCCUUUUAACAUCAUAAGUUCGUAAAACUACAGCUAGGGGUGCUAUAAUUGAAAAGAAAACUUUCCAAUUUUCUAAGUUAAUUAGCUCCGGCUCUAUAGCACGGAUCGGGCUGAAAUUUUGGUAGAGGGAGCGGAUUGAGCUAAAAAUUCUUCAUGAAUCUCUCUUAAACAUGCCUAAGAAACUUACUUAUGUUAUAAAGAAUAAGGUAAAUACCAAUUAUUAAAGCAUUCUUAUUGAUUAGGUUUUUUAAAUUUUCAUUUUAAAAAAAUUGAAUGAAUUUCGCUCUAAAUCAUCCAAAAAUUUAAUAUUUGGCUGGCGUACACGCACGAACGCAAAUGCACGAGGGUCAGUGUAUUGUGUUCUUCAAAUGGCGUGAUUUGCAUAAAAUAAAUAAUAUUACUUUCUAUAUGCAUUGAUUAUAACAAUUAAUAAUUUGAAUGAAAUUUAUAUUUAUUUAGAAUGAAAAACCAAUCAAAUCUAAUACUAUUUUUUGAAUCAAUAGCAUAAGUAUUUGAAAAAAAGGAAACUACAUUCAGAUCUAUGACUGAUUCCAUCAGUACGGAAAACAUUAAAACGAGUCAGUCUUGAAGAAGCCGCUGAGUUGAAAAGUUGUCACACAAAUUAUUUCCAAUCUAUUUGAAAAUGAAAAAAAAACUAAAAAAUGGUUACAGUGGAUAAGUAAACUUAUAAAGUUGCAAAAAUCAUCAAGUGAUCGACAAAGAAAUUUGAUAAAGUGUUGGAAAUCGUUAGAUUGGGUAAGUAAAAAAAUGUUUGCCAGAAAAGUAUUAACCAUAUUCGGUAAAUUAAAUUAAAUUUAUUUCUUCUUUUAAGCUAAAAUGGAAUGUCAAACUUUUUAUUAUUUUAUUUAAAUUUAAAAUUCGUCGUAAGAAUUUUUUAUUAUUUAAUAUUUUACUAACGAUUUGUAAUUUUCGAUAUUGUUCAAGUUCAAUCGAUCAUCCUGAUUGCAAGUCAUUGUUGAUUGGAAACGUCCGUGAGCAGAAGCUGGAAAAUUAUCACCAUAUCUGUUUUAUCGAACUACUUUUCUUCAAAAAUUCCAUCUAGGAGAGACCUAAAUAGUAUCAAGGACAAUCAUUGUCUUUUCCAUGGAAUUGGAAAAGUGAUUCGCAGAUAGCAGCAGAACUCAGAGCAAACAGUAAAGGACGUAAAUCUGCAAAACACAACUUAGAAAAGUGAGCGCUGUAAUAAAAGUAGACGAGGAGCACUACCACUGAUCAAAUUUCAUUAUGUCAUCGUUUAUCUUUA